UACGUAGGGUGCGAGCGUUGUCCGGAAUUAUUGGGCGUAAAGGGCUCGUAGGCGGUCUGUCGCGUCGGGAGUGAAAACUCAGGGCUUAACCCUGAGCCUGCUUCCGAUACGGGCAGACUAGAGGUAUGCAGGGGAGAACGGAAUUCCUGGUGUAGCGGUGAAAUGCGCAGAUAUCAGGAGGAACACUGGUGGCGAAGGCGGUUCUCUGGGCAUUACCUGACGCUGAGGAGCGAAAGUGUGGGGAGCGAACAGG
RNAcentral lists this ribosomal RNA (253 nucleotides) under uncultured bacterium. Its description in RNAcentral is "partial 16S ribosomal RNA". It matches the Rfam family "Bacterial small subunit ribosomal RNA", at positions 524 to 776 of the family's 1533-position model. The record is from RNAcentral.